CUAUCCUCUCGCUCUCACUCUCUACCUUAGAGGUCGAGGGGGAAGAAGGUAGAUGGAGGACGAGAGGGUAAAGGAGGGGGCUCUCCGGACCCUCGGCCUAUUCCAAGUCCUGCCUAGGCUGGUCGUAUUCGAUCUCGAUUACACCCUUUGGCCCUUCUACUGGUCAGCAUAAUCCACAUUUGCCUUGACACUCAAUUUGGGUUGGUCGUCGGGGACAGAGAGAGAGGCCCGACUUCCAUGCUGUUUGGUCCCAAGUUUUUGUCCAAGCUUUACAAGCUCAGCCCACCCGAGGAUCUCACGCUGGCGAUGACCCUCGCGAGGCCUUCUUCCUUAUUCCUCGAAGACCUCGUGUCCAUGCCGCCCUUCUCCGAGUCAGGAUACGGGUCGGUCGAGAAGGUCUACGUCGUGUGCGCUCAGGAUGAAGGCAUCAGCGAAGGGUUUCAGCGCUGGAUGAUCAAGAAUGACCCAGUGAAAGUGGUGAAGGAGAUGGAGGAUGCUGACCAUAUGGCCGGCCAUGUUCUCAACACCGAAACAGCUCUUCCAAUGCCUCUCUGAUGUUGUCGAUGCCAGUGCUUGAUCACGUGUUAGCUACCUCUUACUUUUCUGUCUCUCCAUCACCUAACUUCUACUUUUAUCGAUGCCUCCUUUUCCUUCUCCUUUACCUUUUCGCAGACCAAUCGAUGGGGAUGGUCGUCCAGGAAUAAAGUUCGUUGACGUCUGCCCAUUAGUAAUGCCGAGUGGCAAUUAGGAAUAAUAUUGGUCGGGCGUGUCCAUUGUCCAUUCCAAUGAUAGCAGCAGAUGUGUUUCAUGCGUAA
Molecule: RNA transcript, 815 nt
Organism: Musa acuminata AAA Group (dessert banana)
Lineage: Eukaryota; Viridiplantae; Streptophyta; Magnoliopsida; Zingiberales; Musaceae
Gene name: salicylic acid-binding protein 2-like
Exons: 3
Source: RefSeq, a predicted model, not a curated record